This 1019-nucleotide long non-coding RNA is filed under the name Homo sapiens (human). RNAcentral's name for it is "novel transcript". The record is from RNAcentral. Lineage: Eukaryota; Metazoa; Chordata; Mammalia; Primates; Hominidae.
ACACCUGCUGGUCUCACCGCUAGGGCCUGGGCAUCACAGGCAGGGGGAAUGGGGAGGGGACGGUAGCGUCAGCCUACACCCACACGCAGUUUCCUGAUAAAAGGUCCUUUGGAAACUUUGAUUCUCUUCUCACCAAGUUGAACGGAGAUGUGUUCCCAUAGUAAGAGUGAGGCCCCUGCAUUUGCUGCCCUCGGUUUUCCCAACUAACACCAGGGCCUCCCCCCUGUACCCCAUUCAUAUGCCUCAGAAGCUGACAAUGACUGUUGGGCUUUUCCAAUGAAUACCAGAACACCAUUUCCUGCAGCCUGAAAAGAAGACAGUAUAAUUGUUUGGCAGCAAGAGACAGGAUCUCGCUGCGUUGCUCAGACUGGUCUCGAACUCCUGGGCUUAAGGGAUUCUCCUGCCUCAAUCACAGCCUCCCAAGUAGCUGAGAUUAAAAGUGCUCACCACCGUGCCAGCGAGUUCAGUUUUUGAGAUCUGUCCCAUUCCACCAAGGAUUUAAGGCUAAAGAUUUAAGUUGUGAAGAUGAUAAUGGAUUGACUCUAUGAAUGGCCACAUUUUUUUAUGCCUCCCUUUUCCCUUGUCCUCGGGCAGUGUCCUCCGACACUGACUCUGUGCUUGGCCCUGUGACUUGCUUUGGCCAAUGGUACAGCAGCAAACUUGAUGCAAACACAACUUGAAAAAGAAGAGGACAGCCAAGUCAUCCCAGCCAAGGCCACCCUGGACCAGCCAGCCUCUUGCCAAGCUGCCAGUGACCACAGAGUCCAAUUAACAACAGCCAGUCCUGGCCCAGGGUGGAGCCAAGACUCUGAGGAGAGGGCUGAACUGUGAACCUAGAAGUACCAUCUCCCCCUGCACACACCUUUGGUCAAGUUGACCCCAAGAAGAAGGACAAGUCCUCUGCACGGCGAUGAGGCCAUACACACAGUCUGUGGCCCGGCUUUGGGAGACUGAUGGGACAAAGGAUGUUUUGCACGAUCCUUGGUCUCUGAGCAAAUAUAUACAUGGGUUAACACAAA